GCAUCAGUAGCUCAGAACCAGAGCGCCGGCCUUGUAAGCCGGAUGUCGGGGGUUAAAAUCCACCCUUUUGCU
Molecule: transfer RNA, 72 nt
Filed under: Sirembo imberbis (golden cusk)
Lineage: Eukaryota; Metazoa; Chordata; Actinopteri; Ophidiiformes; Ophidiidae
Description: tRNA-Thr
Rfam family: tRNA
About the family: Transfer RNA (tRNA) molecules are approximately 80 nucleotides in length.
Source: RNAcentral